This 606-nucleotide long non-coding RNA is filed under the name Apteryx rowi (Okarito brown kiwi). Its description in RNAcentral is "lncRNA (ENSARWG00000002284.1)". Lineage: Eukaryota; Metazoa; Chordata; Aves; Apterygiformes; Apterygidae. The record is from RNAcentral.
AGAUAGUAAAGGGCUUUGGGUAGUGAAUGAUUCUUCUUCAUGUAGGUAACCAGAAAGUUGCCUGUGAACCCUGAGAGAGGUGGUAUGACUCGCUUCUUUGUGCAGAUCAUGUCACUAGCUGGACAGACUGGCCUUCUUGCCGUGGGAGUUGUCAGGUGGGAGAUACACAGUGCGUGCGCUUAAGGAUGGGGAAAAGCAGAAAGAGCUCUGUAGCUGUGAAGCCUUGUAGCAUGGAAUUGGUUGGGCUCUGCAUAGGCGCUUGAGGAAACCUGCACAAGAACAGCCAGGUCACGGUCUUCAGAACUUCUGCUUUCAUUGGCUGCACAGAGGAAAUCUUGAAUUAUACUUGCUUGGAUACCAGUCACCUUGUGCCACUGAAUUCAGUGGGAGUUUUACCCAUGAGAUCCCAAGAAGACACCAUGAAUAUAUCACAACUCAAAACAAGCAAUGACUUAAGUGUCGGUCUCCUUCUGUUAUUGAGAACUGGAUACUCCAGAGUAAUGCUCUCAGCACUGUCUCCUUCAUUUAUCAGCACCCUAAAAGGUUGUACUGCCACCUUCACAACUCAUACCCCAGGUAAGCUCAUAUGUGUGUCUUGGAUAUCAA